GUGGCAAAUUUUUUUGGUUUGGGUAUUGUAGUUUGUAUUUAAUAAAUGUUGUCCAAUCAUAAAAUAACUAGACUUAAAAGAUUCGUUUCACAAAUUACAGGUAACCUGUGUAAAUUAGUUUUGUUUUCGUCUAUAUUUAAUGCUCUAUGCAUGUGCCGUAAGAUUCGAUGUGACGGAGAAUCUUGAAAAUUUUUUGGUACUUUUUGG
Molecule: long non-coding RNA, 207 nt
Filed under: Sorghum bicolor (sorghum)
Lineage: Eukaryota; Viridiplantae; Streptophyta; Magnoliopsida; Poales; Poaceae
Description: long non-coding RNA (SBIC_LNC007184)
Source: RNAcentral